Molecule: ribosomal RNA, 444 nt
Filed under: uncultured bacterium
Lineage: Bacteria
Description: partial 16S ribosomal RNA
Rfam family: Bacterial small subunit ribosomal RNA
Source: RNAcentral
GACUACUGGUGGCAGCAGUGGGGAAUAUUGCACAAUGGGGGAAACCCUGAUGCAGCAACGCCGCGUGAAGGAAGACGGUUUUCGGAUUGUAAACUUCUAUCAAUAGGGAAGAAAGAAAUGACGGUACCUGAAGAAGAAGCCCCGGCUAACUACGUGCCAGCAGCCGCGGUAAUACGUAGGGGGCAAGCGUUAUCCGGAUUUACUGGGUGUAAAGGGGGCGCAGACGGGGAUGCAAGCCAGGAGUGAAAGCCCGGGGACCAACCCCGGGACUGCUCUUGGAACUGCGUGGCUAGAGUGCAGGAGGGGCAGGCGGAAUUCCGGGUGUAGCGGUGAAAUGCGUAGAUAUCAGGAGGAACACCGGUGGCGAAGGCGGCCUGCUGGACUGCAACUGACGUUGAGGCCCGAAAGCGUGGGGAGCAAACAGGAUUAGAUACCCCAGUAGUC